CUCAGAGUGAACGCUGGCGGCGUGCUUAACACAUGCAAGUCGAACGAGAACGGGUUAUAGUUUACUAUAACUGUCAGCUAAGUGGCGCACGGGUGAGUAAUGUAUAGUUAACCUGCCCUCGAGAAAGGAAUAACAGUUGGAAACGACUGCUAAUGCCCUAUAUGCCUAUAAGACAUAAGUCUGCUAGGGAAACGCUUUUGUGCUCGAGGAUGGGACUGUAUGGUAUCAGCUAGUUGGUGAGGUAAUGGCUCACCAAGGCAAUGACGCCUAACUGGUUUGAGAGGAUGAUCAGUCACACUGGAACUGAGACACGGUCCAGACUCCUACGGGAGGCAGCAGUGGGGAAUAUUGCACAAUGGAGGAAACUCUGAUGCAGCAACGCCGCGUGGAGGAUGACACUUUUCGGAGCGUAAACUCCUUUUAUAUAGGAAGAUAAUGACGGUACUAUAUGAAUAAGCACCGGCUAACUCCGU
Molecule: ribosomal RNA, 473 nt
Filed under: uncultured bacterium
Lineage: Bacteria
Description: bacterial SSU rRNA
Rfam family: Bacterial small subunit ribosomal RNA
Source: RNAcentral